UCUCGGGGAUACCUUGGCCGAGGCAUCUAACCGAGUCCGCCAAGGGUGUUAAAAUAUUCACACAUGAAAUACAUUUUUAUUUUUAAAACAAGCCGUCCCUUGGCGUUGGCCGAGUUACACAUUCACGUGGGGGUUCGACGUGAAGUGAGCUCUAAUACUACCCCAGGAGUUACCCUCCUCGCCUCUACAACCGGAGUAACUAUAUAACUGGGUUUACCGUGCCCUUCUAAUAGGCAGUCCACGGAAACCUGUGACUGCAGUGACUAACCCACCAAUUUUAAUAAAAUUUCGACAUAUAACGUGGCUUUUAUUUAUUUAUCCAGCCUGCAUAGUAAAAACAACUUACAUAAAUUUCCCAAUGCACUCACAAAAUAUAGCCACAUAUACUCAUUUCUCAUAAGCCAUUCCUAGGAAAAUAUAUAUAUUUCAAGUCAAUUUGCAGCCUCCGAUUACUCAAUUUCAUAAUCAAUACAAUAUAUUUUUAUUUGUCACAUUUAUUCCUAAAACAUCAAAAAUCCCGUUUUAAUCUCGUUCUCAUUUCAUAAA
This 546-nucleotide long non-coding RNA is filed under the name Theobroma cacao (cacao). Its description in RNAcentral is "long non-coding RNA (TCAC_LNC000304)". The record is from RNAcentral. Lineage: Eukaryota; Viridiplantae; Streptophyta; Magnoliopsida; Malvales; Malvaceae.